This 497-nucleotide ribosomal RNA is filed under the name uncultured bacterium. RNAcentral's name for it is "partial 16S ribosomal RNA". It matches the Rfam family "Bacterial small subunit ribosomal RNA", at positions 28 to 507 of the family's 1533-position model. The record is from RNAcentral.
GACGAACGCUGGCGGCGUGCCUAAUACAUGCAAGUAGAACGCUGAAGAGAGGAGCUUCCUCUUCUUGGAUGAGUUGCGAACGGGUGAGUAACGCGUAGGUAACCUGCCUUGUAGCGGGGGAUAACUAUUGGAAACGAUAGCUAAUACCGCAUAACAAUGGAUGACACAUGUCCUUUAUUUGAAAGGGGCAAUUGCUCCACUACAAGAUGGACCUGCGUUGUAUUAGCUAGUAGGUGAGGUAAUGGCUCACCUAGGCGACGAUACAUAGCCGACCUGAGAGGGUGAUCGGCCACACUGGGACUGAGACGCGGCCCAGACUCCUACGGGAGGCAGCAGUAGGGAAUCUUCGGCAAUGGGGGCAACCCUGACCGAGCAACGCCGCGUGAGUGAAGAAGGGUUUCGGAUCGUAAAGCUCUGUUGUAAGUCAAGAACGGGUGUGAGAGUGGAAAGUUCACACUGUGACGGUAGCUUACCAGAAAGGGACGGCUAACUACGUG